UUGCUACUCCCUCCGUCUCAAAAUUCUUGUCUUAGACUUGUCUAAAUACGAAUGUAUCUAAUACUAAAAUGUGACUUGAUACAUCUGUAUUUAGACAAAUCUAAGACAAAAGUUUUGGGAUGGAGGGAGUAUCUU
Molecule: non-coding RNA, 135 nt
Organism: Triticum aestivum (bread wheat)
Lineage: Eukaryota; Viridiplantae; Streptophyta; Magnoliopsida; Poales; Poaceae
Source: Rfam